GAUUAAGUUAUUAAGGGCGCACGGUGGAUGCCUUGGCACUAGAAGCCGAUGAAGGACGUUACUAACGACGAUAUGCUUUGGGGAGCUGUAAGUAAGCUUUGAUCCAGAGAUUUCCGAAUGGGGAAACCCAGCAUGAGUUAUGUCAUGUUAUCGAUAUGUGAAUACAUAGCAUAUCAGAAGGCACACCCGGAGAACUGAAACAUCUUAGUACCCGGAGGAAGAGAAAGAAAAUUCGAUUCCCUUAGUAGCGGCGAGCGAAACGGGAAGAGCCCAAACCAACAAGCUUGCUUGUUGGGGUUGUAGGACACUCUAUACGGAGUUACAAAGGACGACAUUAGACGAAUCAUCUGGAAAGAUGAAUCAAAGAAGGUAAUAAUCCUGUAGUCGAAAAUGUUGUCUCUCUUGAGUGGAUCCUGAGUACGACGGAGCACGUGAAAUUCCGUCGGAAUCUGGGAGGACCAUCUCCUAAGGCUAAAUACUCUCUAGUGACCGAUAGUGAACCAGUACCGUGAGGGAAAGGUGAAAAGCACCCCGGAAGGGGAGUGAAAUAGAACCUGAAACCGUGUGCUUACAAGUAGUCAGAGCCCGUUAAUGGGUGAUGGCGUGCCUUUUGUAGAAUGAACCGGCGAGUUACGAUUUGAUGCAAGGUUAAGCAGUAAAUGUGGAGCCGUAGCGAAAGCGAGUCUGAAUAGGGCGUUUAGUAUUUGGUCGUAGACCCGAAACCAGGUGAUCUACCCUUGGUCAGGUUGAAGUUCAGGUAACACUGAAUGGAGGACCGAACCGACUUACGUUGAAAAGUGAGCGGAUGAACUGAGGGUAGCGGAGAAAUUCCAAUCGAACCUGGAGAUAGCUGGUUCUCUCCGAAAUAGCUUUAGGGCUAGCCUCAAGUGAUGAUUAUUGGAGGUAGAGCACUGUUUGGACGAGGGGCCCCUCUCGGGUUACCGAAUUCAGACAAACUCCGAAUGCCAAUUAAUUUAACUUGGGAGUCAGAACAUGGGUGAUAAGGUCCGUGUUCGAAAGGGAAACAGCCCAGACCACCAGCUAAGGUCCCAAAAUAUAUGUUAAGUGGAAAAGGAUGUGGCGUUGCCCAGACAACUAGGAUGUUGGCUUAGAAGCAGCCAUCAUUUAAAGAGUGCGUAAUAGCUCACUAGUCGAGUGACACUGCGCCGAAAAUGUACCGGGGCUAAACAUAUUACCGAAGCUGUGGAUUGUCCUUUGGACAAUGGUAGGAGAGCGUUCUAAGGGCGUUGAAGCAUGAUCGUAAGGACAUGUGGAGCGCUUAGAAGUGAGAAUGCCGGUGUGAGUAGCGAAAGACGGGUGAGAAUCCCGUCCACCGAUUGACUAAGGUUUCCAGAGGAAGGCUCGUCCGCUCUGGGUUAGUCGGGUCCUAAGCUGAGGCCGACAGGCGUAGGCGAUGGAUAACAGGUUGAUAUUCCUGUACCACCUAUAAUCGUUUUAAUCGAUGGGGGGACGCAGUAGGAUAGGCGAAGCGUGCGAUUGGAUUGCACGUCUAAGCAGUAAGGCUGAGUAUUAGGCAAAUCCGGUACUCGUUAAGGCUGAGC
This 1562-nucleotide ribosomal RNA is filed under the name Klebsiella aerogenes. RNAcentral's name for it is "partial 23S ribosomal RNA". It matches the Rfam family "Bacterial large subunit ribosomal RNA", at positions 1 to 1561 of the family's 2925-position model. The record is from RNAcentral. RNAcentral also lists the same sequence under 2 other names. Lineage: Bacteria; Pseudomonadati; Pseudomonadota; Gammaproteobacteria; Enterobacterales; Enterobacteriaceae.